RNAcentral lists this ribosomal RNA (397 nucleotides) under Escherichia coli. Its description in RNAcentral is "partial 23S ribosomal RNA". It matches the Rfam family "Bacterial large subunit ribosomal RNA", at positions 584 to 981 of the family's 2925-position model. The record is from RNAcentral. Lineage: Bacteria; Pseudomonadati; Pseudomonadota; Gammaproteobacteria; Enterobacterales; Enterobacteriaceae.
CUUAGGCGUGUGACUGCGUACCUUUUGUAUAAUGGGUCAGCGACUUAUAUUCUGUAGCAAGGUUAACCGAAUAGGGGAGCCGAAGGGAAACCGAGUCUUAACUGGGCGUUAAGUUGCAGGGUAUAGACCCGAAACCCGGUGAUCUAGCCAUGGGCAGGUUGAAGGUUGGGUAACACUAACUGGAGGACCGAACCGACUAAUGUUGAAAAAUUAGCGGAUGACUUGUGGCUGGGGGUGAAAGGCCAAUCAAACCGGGAGAUAGCUGGUUCUCCCCGAAAGCUAUUUAGGUAGCGCCUCGUGAAUUCAUCUCCGGGGGUAGAGCACUGUUUCGGCAAGGGGGUCAUCCCGACUUACCAACCCGAUGCAAACUGCGAAUACCGGAGAAUGUUAUCACGGG